GGAUGCCCAGAUCUCAGUGACACUGGUUAAUCACAGUGAGCAGGAGAAGGCAGUGCAGCUGGCAAUUGGGGUCCAGGCUGUGCACUACAACGGUGUCCUUGCUGCCAAGCUCUGGAGGAAGAAGCUGCCCCUCACGCUCAGUGCCAACCUGGAAAAGACAAUAACCAUCAACCUGUUCUUCUCCAAUUUUGAACGAAACCCACCUGAGAACACCUUCCUUAGACUCACCGCCAUGGCAACACACUCUGAGUCCAGCCUUAGCUGCUUUGCUCAGGAAGACAUUGCCAUUUGUAGACCACACCUUGCCAUCAAGAUGCCAGAGAAAGCAGAGCAGUAUCAACCCCUCACAGCCUCAGUCAGCAUCCAGAACUCCCUAGAUGCCCCCAUGGAGGACUGUGUGAUCUCCAUCCUGGGAAGGGGGCUCAUUCACAGAGAGAGGAGCUACAGCCCAGGAACCAAAUUGCUUUACCUCAUUGUGUAAGACAAGCGUCAAAAACAGCUUCAACCUAUCUUGAACAAGAGAACUUACCUCCAAAGGUGAUCUGCCAUAGCUUACACAGAAUCAUAAGUGUUAUAUUUUCAUUUGUU
Molecule: small RNA, 588 nt
Filed under: Pongo abelii (Sumatran orangutan)
Lineage: Eukaryota; Metazoa; Chordata; Mammalia; Primates; Hominidae
Description: processed transcript
Source: RNAcentral